CUGAGCAGCUUCUUGGCCUUGUGUAGCAGUCUGUGAUGCACGACGCACAAAACAAAACCAAAAAAAACCAGCAUCCCUUUAUUCGCUCACAUUACAAGACCUGUGGGUCCUCGGAGCCCCGGGAGAGGAGGAUACAAGUGGCUUUAAAUCUGAGAGCAACCAGUCGCGCACGCAGUCCUGCCAGUCAUCAUCUCUGUGAACAUUUGGAUCUAUUUGCUUUGGGAGUGGAUUGUAAUUGACGUCGAAGUAGUUUUUAUUGCUCUCUGAGGGAUUCUGAAGGGUGAAAAAUGGAGCCCGGUUUGGAGCCAAGGGAUGACAGAGGAAAGAGAACGCCAGAAAGAAACAGUAGAGAGGUGUCGGAUGAUGGUGUAUGUGCAAAUCAUCAGUCAGCAAGAUGCAAGGUUGACCCUGAUCACCUGCUCGGCCUUGUGGGCAUCGUGGGCACAGUGCUCAACCUGCUGGUAGUGGUGUUAGUGUACAUCUACACCCCUGUCUGAUGCAACUACAAACACGCGGAACAGAAGGAUUUACAGCCUGUUGCAAGAGUCCUGUCUUUUGAUAAUGUUUGUGUUACAUUAUUGAUAUUUAGGAGAACAAUUUACUGGUAAUCACUUAUAUAAAGCCGUUGAGAGCAGCUGUAAUUACAGAAGUUCAAUUCCACAAAGUGGCAGAUGUUCGGCGUUCGAUCUUUCUUUGCAAAUUGUGUCUGCAAUGUCACCACUUUAUUUCCAGAUUCAUUAAGAAUUGUAGAGAAUAAUUACACUGCAAUUAUUAGAAAAUCAACAGGAUCAAAGGACAUUGCUUUUAUACUGUAUGGAUGUUUCCUGCUUGCUUGAUGUGGUUUUGUAAACUGAUUUUUGCAAAUAAAUUUGUCUUUGCACACCAACAGAGCAGUAUUCUGGUGUAUAUUUGCAUUUAUUUUUUGAAGCAAAUAUUCAUUUUUUAUAUACACAGGAAGAAAUAACCCAAAUUUUUAUUUAUAACUGCAAGCCUACUUCUUUGACCCAUCACAGAGGACUGGCAAACAGCAGGGAAAGAACAAGGAUGUGCCUCAUAAAAAAAUCAUCAAAUAGUGACAUAAAAACAGUGUUGGAGGGAACAAAUGGAUCAUCUCAAGUUCUAUGUAAAAUAUAAAUCCAAGUGUAACUCUGCAAAUCAAGAAAUGACAGAACUAUCGUAACUCCAUUAA
Oreochromis niloticus (Nile tilapia) is the source of this 1189-nucleotide long non-coding RNA. RefSeq lists it as uncharacterized. The record is from RefSeq and is a predicted model, not a curated record. Lineage: Eukaryota; Metazoa; Chordata; Actinopteri; Cichliformes; Cichlidae. The transcript has 2 exons.